Molecule: ribosomal RNA, 468 nt
Filed under: uncultured bacterium
Lineage: Bacteria
Description: partial 16S ribosomal RNA
Rfam family: Bacterial small subunit ribosomal RNA
Source: RNAcentral
GACGAACGCUGGCGGCGUGCUUAACACAUGCAAGUCGAACGGAAAGGCCCUGCUUUUGUGGGGUGCUCGAGUGGCGAACGGGUGAGUAACACGUGAGUAACCUGCCCUUGACUUUGGGAUAACUUCAGGAAACUGGGGCUAAUACCGGAUAGGAGCUCCUGCUGCAUGGUGGGCGUUGGAUAGUUUCGGCGGUUGGGGAUGGACUCGCGGCUUAUCAGCUUGUUGGUGGGGUAGUGGCUUACCAAGGCUUUGACGGGUAGCCGGCCUGAGAGGGUGACCGGCCACAUUGGGACUGAGAGACGGCCCAGACUCCUACGGGAGGCAGCAGUGGGGAAUAUUGCACAAUGGGCGGAAGCCUGAGGCAGCAACGCCGCGUGCGGGAUGACGGCCUGCGGGUUGUAAACCGCUUUAGCCUGUGACGAAGCGGGAGUGACGGUAAUGGGUAAAGAAGCACCGGCUAACUACGUG